RNAcentral lists this ribosomal RNA (582 nucleotides) under uncultured bacterium. RNAcentral describes it as "bacterial SSU rRNA". It matches the Rfam family "Bacterial small subunit ribosomal RNA", at positions 102 to 680 of the family's 1533-position model. The record is from RNAcentral.
ACGGGUGAGUAAUGUCUGGGGAUCUGCCCGAUAGAGGGGGAUAACCACUGGAAACGGUGGCUAAUACCGCAUAACGUCGCAAGACCAAAGAGGGGGACCUUCGGGCCUCUCACUAUCGGAUGAACCCAGAUGGGAUUAGCUAGUAGGCGGGGUAACGGCCCACCUAGGCGACGAUCCCUAGCUGGUCUGAGAGGAUGACCAGCCACACUGGAACUGAGACACGGUCCAGACUCCUACGGGAGGCAGCAGUGGGGAAUAUUGCACAAUGGGCGCAAGCCUGAUGCAGCCAUGCCGCGUGUAUGAAGAAGGCCUUCGGGUUGUAAAGUACUUUCAGCGGGGAGGAAGGCAGUGAGGUUAAUAACCGCAUUGAUUGACGUUACCCGCAGAAGAAGCACCGGCUAACUCCGUGCCAGCAGCCGCGGUAAUACGGAGGGUGCAAGCGUUAAUCGGAAUUACUGGGCGUAAAGCGCACGCAGGCGGUCUGUUAAGUCAGAUGUGAAAUCCCCGGGCUUAACCUGGGAACUGCAUUUGAAACUGGCAGGCUUGAGUCUCGUAGAGGGGGGUAGAAUUCCAGGUGUAGCG